This 74-nucleotide transfer RNA is filed under the name Actinocrinis puniceicyclus. Its description in RNAcentral is "actinobacterium OB1 tRNA". It matches the Rfam family "tRNA". Rfam says of the family: Transfer RNA (tRNA) molecules are approximately 80 nucleotides in length. Their secondary structure includes four short double-helical elements and three loops (D, anti-codon, and T loops). Further hydrogen bonds mediate the characteristic L-shaped molecular structure. tRNAs have two regions of fundamental functional importance: the anti-codon, which is responsible for specific mRNA codon recognition, and the 3' end, to which the tRNAs corresponding amino acid is attached (by aminoacyl-tRNA synthetases). tRNAs cope with the degeneracy of the genetic code in two manners: having more than one tRNA (with a specific anti-codon) for a particular amino acid; and 'wobble' base-pairing, i.e. permitting non-standard base-pairing at the 3rd anti-codon position. RNAcentral also lists the same sequence under 2 other names. The record is from Rfam by way of RNAcentral. Lineage: Bacteria; Bacillati; Actinomycetota; Actinomycetes; Catenulisporales; Actinospicaceae.
GCCCCCUUAGCUCAGUCGGCCAGAGCGACGCACUCGUAAUGCGUAGGUCAUCGGUUCAAUUCCGAUAGGGGGCU